ACACGACUAAAAAGUUACUAACAAAGAGAUAGAAACACAAGUAUUUUUAUCCUGGUUCGCUUGAAACUCGAAGCUACUCCAAUCCACCCGCCAAGGUGAUUUUUCCUUAGACACAAAGGACUUAAUCCACUAUACCCUCCAACUGUCUUCUUCUUUGUCUUCUCAGUGAUCCGACUAGACCCUAGUCUCCUUAAGGACUCACGAAGAAUAACCUUCUCUGUCUUCUCAAGGAUCCGACUAUACCCUAGUCUCCUUAAGGAAUAAAAAAACAGUUUGAAUAAUAUUUUGUGUGUUACAAGUUGCUUCUUCUAUACAAGCAGAUUUUACACAAAUGACAAAAAAAAACACUUAAAGAAAAUUGUGUACAAAAGAAUGAUAACUUUUUAAAGUUUUGCAGCGCUUUUCUAUACAUCUUCGUCGUCACAUUUUUU
This 431-nucleotide long non-coding RNA is filed under the name Lathyrus oleraceus (garden pea). Its description in RNAcentral is "Pisum sativum (pea) long non-coding RNA (PSAT_LNC010857)". The record is from RNAcentral. Lineage: Eukaryota; Viridiplantae; Streptophyta; Magnoliopsida; Fabales; Fabaceae.